This 406-nucleotide ribosomal RNA is filed under the name uncultured bacterium. RNAcentral's name for it is "partial 16S ribosomal RNA". It matches the Rfam family "Bacterial small subunit ribosomal RNA", at positions 30 to 526 of the family's 1533-position model. The record is from RNAcentral.
AUUGAACGCUGGCGGCUGGCCUAACACAUGCAAGUCGAACGAGUGGCGGACGGGUGAGUAAUGUAUGGGAAACUGCCUGAUGGAGGGGGAUAACUACUGGAAACGGUAGCUACUACCGCAUACCAUCAGAUGUGCCCAGAUGGGAUUAGAUAGUUGGUGGGGUAACGGCGCACCGAGUCGACGAUCCCUAGCUGGUCUGAGAGGAUGACCGGCCACACUGGAACGGAGACACGGCCCAGACUCCUACGGGAGGCAGCAGUGGGGAAUAUUGGAAAAUGGGCGCAAGCCUGAUGCAGCCAUGCCGCGUGUAUGAAGAAGGCAUUCGGGUGGUAAAGUACUUUCAGCGGGGAGGCGUUACCCGCAGAAGAAGCACCGGCUAACUCCGUGCCAGCAGCCGCGGUAAUUC